CGGGUCGUAGUACAACGGUAGUAUGCACGAUUCGGGUUCGUGUGAUCCGAGUUCGAUUCUCGGCGGCCCGACCA
RNAcentral lists this transfer RNA (74 nucleotides) under Candidatus Yonathbacteria bacterium CG17_big_fil_post_rev_8_21_14_2_50_46_19. RNAcentral describes it as "tRNA-Pro". It matches the Rfam family "tRNA". Rfam says of the family: Transfer RNA (tRNA) molecules are approximately 80 nucleotides in length. Their secondary structure includes four short double-helical elements and three loops (D, anti-codon, and T loops). Further hydrogen bonds mediate the characteristic L-shaped molecular structure. tRNAs have two regions of fundamental functional importance: the anti-codon, which is responsible for specific mRNA codon recognition, and the 3' end, to which the tRNAs corresponding amino acid is attached (by aminoacyl-tRNA synthetases). tRNAs cope with the degeneracy of the genetic code in two manners: having more than one tRNA (with a specific anti-codon) for a particular amino acid; and 'wobble' base-pairing, i.e. permitting non-standard base-pairing at the 3rd anti-codon position. RNAcentral also lists the same sequence under 1 other name. Lineage: Bacteria; Candidatus Yonathiibacteriota. The record is from RNAcentral.